RNAcentral lists this ribosomal RNA (253 nucleotides) under uncultured bacterium. RNAcentral describes it as "partial 16S ribosomal RNA". It matches the Rfam family "Bacterial small subunit ribosomal RNA", at positions 524 to 776 of the family's 1533-position model. The record is from RNAcentral.
UACGGAGGGUGCAACCGUUGCUCGGAUUCACUGGGCGUAAAGGGUGCGUAGGCGGUCGGGUAAGUCUGAUGUGAAAUCUCACAGCUUAACUGUGAAACUGCAUUGGAUACUAUUCGGCUUGAGAGUUGGAGGGGGGACUGGAAUUCUUGGUGUAGCAGUGAAAUGCGUAGAUAUCAAGAGGAACACCAGUGGCGAAGGCGAGUCCCUGGACAACUUCUGACGCUGAGGCACGAAAGCUAGGGGAGCAAACAGG